GAUUAAUUAGUUUAAGGAAAAAAAAUAUUAAUUUUGUAAAUUAAAGAUUAAGAAUUAUUAUUAAUCU
RNAcentral lists this transfer RNA (67 nucleotides) under Prosevania sp. ZJUH_2016031. RNAcentral describes it as "tRNA-Thr". The record is from RNAcentral. Lineage: Eukaryota; Metazoa; Arthropoda; Insecta; Hymenoptera; Evaniidae.